Acyrthosiphon pisum (pea aphid) is the source of this 730-nucleotide long non-coding RNA. RefSeq lists it as uncharacterized. Lineage: Eukaryota; Metazoa; Arthropoda; Insecta; Hemiptera; Aphididae. The record is from RefSeq and is a predicted model, not a curated record. The transcript has 3 exons.
UGAAUCAAUAUCUUUAGAUAAACUCACUAAUAAACUUAGUAAUUUAUAAUAGUAAUCCUACUGUUAAAAUAAUUUUUACCUACAGUAUAAUAAUAUAUCAUUCACUAUUAAUUUCAAUUUAAUACAUUUAAAAACAAACAUCUACAAAAAUAUUUUUAUGAAUCUUUGUAUUAUGGAUAAUUUAAUAUUUGCACAAACAAAUUCAAUUGUAUCUGGUACUUAUAAUAACCGACAAGAAAGUGAAGAAAUAAUUCAGUAUGUUCUUCAGCAAAAUAUUUUACGAACACCUGUCAACCAAAUUACAAUAGAUUAUUCACAAGACGAUUAUAGAAAUAUGAUUAUUAGAAGACCAACUAUUUCAAGCAAAAAAAAAUCAAAGGAGAAAAAGCUGUCUCAAAAAAUAUCAAAAAUAAUUUAAGAGUACUAAUAGAAAUAUAAAAACAUAAAUUUUAUUUCAGUAUUAACACAUUAAAAAAAAUAUGUUAUAAUAGAUGUAUAAUAUUAUACUCAUGCACUAUUAUCAUGUAUAUUAAUAUCUAUAUACCAAUUUCUAUGUGUUUGACAAUAAGUAGUUGUAUAGUACAUUUUACAUUAUUAAUUUUUCUUUAAAGAAAUGAGUACUAAAAAUAAGAUAAGGUAUCACGUAAUAGUUUAUUAAUUGUAAAAUAAUAUAUAAAUUGUAUUUACUUUUGUUUUGUUUCAAUAACAUCAAUAGGCAUCUCAACAGGAA